This 253-nucleotide ribosomal RNA is filed under the name uncultured bacterium. RNAcentral's name for it is "partial 16S ribosomal RNA". It matches the Rfam family "Bacterial small subunit ribosomal RNA", at positions 524 to 776 of the family's 1533-position model. The record is from RNAcentral.
UACAGAGGGGGCAAGCGUUGUUCGGAAUUACUGGGCGUAAAGGGCGCGUAGGCGGUUUGCUACGUCGAACGUGAAAUCCCCGAGCUCAACCCGGGAACUGCGUCCGAUACUGGAAGGCUUGAAUCCGGGAGAGGGAUGCGGAAUUCCAGGUGUAGCGGUGAAAUGCGUAGAUAUCUGGAGGAACACCGGUGGCGAAGGCGGCAUCCUGGACCGGUAUUGACGCUGAGGCGCGAAAGCCAGGGGAGCAAACGGG